This 327-nucleotide ribosomal RNA is filed under the name uncultured eukaryote. Its description in RNAcentral is "partial 18S ribosomal RNA". It matches the Rfam family "Eukaryotic small subunit ribosomal RNA", at positions 1470 to 1796 of the family's 1831-position model. The record is from RNAcentral.
CCCUUAGAUGUUCUGGGCCGCACACGCGCUACACUGAAGGAGGCAGCGUGUACUCCUGGAUCGAAAGAUUUGGGUAACCCGCGAAUCUCCUUCGUGCUAGGGAUUGAGGUUUGCAAUUAUUCUUCAUGAACGAGGAAUUCCCAGUAAGUGCAAGUCAUAAGCUUGCGCUGACUACGUCCCUGCCCUUUGUACACACCGCCCGUCGCUACUACCGAUUGAAUGAUUUAGUGAGGACUUCGGACUGGGACCGAUGCGGCUUUCGGGCUGCGUCGGUAUUCUGGAAAGAUGUCCAAACUGUAUCAUUUAGAGGAAGUAAAAGUCGUANCA